AAUCCUCGCGCGCCAAGAACCCUAAAAUAUAUUCGGGGGGGCAGCGAGGGAUUCUCCACCACUGGAAUGCGGCAGUCUCCAAUCGAUCUUUGUGGAAUUCCCCCGUGCUCAGCUCCGCCGCCGUGGAGCGCAAGAUCUAGAUCAUGCUUCGCCGCUGCAUCGCGUGCUUCUCUAGGGCCGGAGCUUCCUGCGACAGAUCCCCAAAGGUAGACAGCAAUCCCGACGCCAAGGAAAUCGAGGAGCUAGAUGAGGAGGAGCCGCAGCAGCUGGAUCCGGAGAGCAAGAAAUCCUCUGCGCCGCGUGGCCCCAAGGUAGGGGGAGGAUCCUCCCAGAGCGCCGUGCUGGUGGAACUCUUCACAUCCCAGGGCUGUAGUUCGUGUCCUCCGGCAGAUCUCUUGAUCUCGCAGCUUGGGCAAGCCAAAUCCUCGGAUGUGGCGCUGGAGGUGCCCAUCGUUGUCCUUGGCUUUCACGUCGAGUACUGGGACUUUAUGGGAUGGAAGGAUCCAUUCGCUAACAGCACUUGGACGCUACGGCAGAGGAAUUAUGGGCAGGCUCUCCAGCAGGACAGCAUUUACACUCCAGAGGUGGUUGUCCAAGGGCGAUCCCACUGCAUUGCUUCCAGCUUGGAGCCCAUUCUAGCGCUCAUCCAUCAAGCUCCCAGAUUUGCUGCGCCAGACAUCACUAUCUCCUUCAAGCUCGAAACCGAGCCAGAGCGCGUCUUAGACACGACAAUGGAAGCCAUCAUCAAGUUCAAGGUUGACAAGUUCACGCUAGACAUAAUGGUGGCGCUCUACGAGAAUGGCCUGGUGACCAACUGCCAAAAGGGCGAGAACAAGGGCCGGAUCCUCACAAACGACUUCGUGGUGAGAAGCAUUGCCAAAGCAGCGACUCUACACGACUGGCCCGCCCGGAAGACUGUCCGGGAACACUUCAAGCUUCCGCUCUGGGACACUUUCAACCGGACCAAGUGUGGAGCAGUGGUUUUCCUCCAGAAUCCAUCGACCAUGGAGGUAUACGGAGCCCAGAUGGUGCCACUGCCGGAAGAUCUUCCCUGACGCUGGAUGGGAGCUUCUCAAAAACACCGGCGUCUCUUCCCAGAAGUAAGCUCUCGCGAGUUUUCAGAGGAGACUUUUUUUUUUUUUUUUUCCUUCUGGAGCUCACGGGCACUUACAAGUUGCAGAGAUUGAUCACUGUUUUGGUCAGUGUUUUCGUGUACAACAUUCUCUGACUCAUCAAUGGGACCGACAAUGGCGAUGCCAGGCGAGCUUUUAUCUUUUUCUUCUUUCGUCUCCCUCGCUACAGGAACUUCGAGGCAGACACGCCAUACGCGUCCCCCACGGCUAGAGCUAUGCUCAAACCGACACGCCCAGGGUAUCUCCUAUU
Molecule: RNA transcript, 1383 nt
Organism: Selaginella moellendorffii
Lineage: Eukaryota; Viridiplantae; Streptophyta; Lycopodiopsida; Selaginellales; Selaginellaceae
Exons: 4
Source: RefSeq, a predicted model, not a curated record